Molecule: ribosomal RNA, 467 nt
Filed under: uncultured bacterium
Lineage: Bacteria
Description: bacterial SSU rRNA
Rfam family: Bacterial small subunit ribosomal RNA
Source: RNAcentral
UAAGGAAUAUUGGUCAAUGCCCGGAAGGGUGAACCAGCCAUCCCGCGUGAAGGAUGAAGGGGCUCUGCCUUGUAAACUUCUUUUGAAUGGGACGAAAAAGCCUCACUUGUGAGGAACUGACGGUACCAUUAGAAUAAGCACCGGCUAACUCCGUGCCAGCAGCCGCGGUAAUACGGAGGGUGCGAGCGUUAUCCGGAAUCACUGGGUUUAAAGGGUGCGUAGGCGGCUGUAUAAGUCAGUGGUGAAAGGCUGUGGCUUAACCAUGGGAUUGCCAUUGAUACUGUACGGCUUGAAUUAGGAUGAGGUUGGCGGAAUGUGACAUGUAGCGGUGAAAUGCUUAGAUAUGUCAUGGAACAUCGAUUGCGACGGCAGCUGACUGGACCUUAAUUGACGCUGAGGCACGAAAGCGUGGGGAGCGAACAGGAUUAGAUACCCACGUAGUCCCUGAGCGGGCUGGCAAGGCGCAU